AAUAGUUCUUUGGUGACAUCCCUGAUCAAUCAUCAAACCAAGGUAGGAAAGAUUUUAGAUUUAAUAUUAUUGGUUAGGGACUGUCUGUAAGUGGAGGGGGUCGAGAGAAGGAGGAACGAUAGACUCACUCAGACGUGAGGGGGUAGACACCAGCUCCAGGGUGGAGUAAGGUAAAUUGGUGUCACAAUAUACCUGUAAAUAAGUAACCUUGUGAGUAUAAGGGGUACAAGUACACAUCGGUAGGUCUUGAUAUAAGAUAUUUAGAGAUGUGUACAGUUACAGAGGGAACAGGUGCACACCUAUAGGUCUUAGAGAGAGACGUAAAAAUUUUCUAGGUGUGCACAGUCCAGGGGGGGACAAAAACGCAUUCUUAACAGGCAUGUGAACCCGUAAAGGGCAGUGCUGGGUCAAGCACCGAGGGACAAGGGACACAUAGAGCCGUAAAUAGGCAGUGCUGGGUCAAGCACAGAAAGCCGAAAAGCACGAGAGGCCAUAAAGGGCAGUGCAUUUACGGCCAGGGAAGCCAAAGUAGGGGUAUGGGAAAUCCCGAGAAGAAUGUAAGACGCUAGACGGGGGUUCUAGUCGUAUCUCGCUCUUCCAACUCUCGAUCACCCACCAUUACAGACGGGGGCGCCCCGAGCUUAGAAAUAGGCCAGGUCAGUGGUUAGGGAACAGAGUAUCCAAAAUUAGUGUUUAAAAAUAAAUAGUGAUAAUUCAUAUGUGCACCUAUAAAAAAUAUAGGGAUAUAUGCAAAGGGAAAGUAUUGAUUGAUCUGGGAUGCCUCAGGAACAACCCCAAAAGAACUAAAAUGUAGUUUUCAUGACCCUGAUUGGAUUGGACCAGUAUAUGGAAAUUCUGGAAUAUACUUUGCAGUUUCAUCACGCAGAAGUCAAGUGCUGUUGGUAAGAUCGCCGCCUCAAUAUGUUUUUGGUUUAUGAUAGAAAUAUGACUGACAAAUUAGGUAACCUGGUAAGCCCUGAUAGAAAUAAUGAAACAGAAGAGAGCAAAUGCUGUAAACAGUUUGGCUCUGAAGCUCUGACUUUAAAAAUAUUCUCUGAAUUCAUUGAAAGAAUGGUCAGUCUGAGCUUUGAUUCUGAUUGGAAAGUUAAAACUAAAAAAUGUAUUGGCUUUAAACAAAGACAGAACCAGAGAAAUAAACAUUUAUAAAUGUAUGUGCCGAUUUGUUAAAAAUAAUCCCCGAAAUAACUGAGUGCUAUAUAAUUGUUGAAAGUCCUGACAAGGAAUACUGAACAGAAUUCUGGGUUAGUGAAAAAAAAAAACAACUGAAGGCACACAAAUUGGCAGUGGCAUUUUGGAAAAACUUAGAAGCUUAUGUUUUGCUUUAAAAAAGAUAAAAUUACUUUGACUACAAUGAAGCCGUUGUUUUAUCUCAUGCUGGCCCCCACCAUGACUCUGGCUUAAGCUUUAAAAGUACCAGAGACAUGUUCUGAGUAAAAAAAAAAAAAAAUGUAAUUCCUAUAUUUACUAAUGUUUGGCCAAAAGAGUAAUUUUAUUGUUGGAUUGCAAAAUUGUAGUCACGCAGCAUCAUAAAAAAAAGAAAAAAAGAAGAGAAAAGAAAAUUAUUUUUUGUUUAUGAGAUGAUAAAGUUGUAAACAAGUAACAUAAACGGGGGUUUCAAAGUAACUUUGAAGACAGCAUGCUAGCAAGACCCAAAGUAAUAUACCUGGGUCAGAUAACCUCCGACAGAUUUAAAACCAAUGUUGAAAUUCAGAAGCCAUGGCCAGAAUUAAGUGAAUGGAUAAAUACAAGUUGAUGUAAAAGUAAUGACAAUGACUGCAAAGAACUUUGAGAAACAUUUGAGUUGCGAAAAUAAAGUAAAAAUACAAAUAUAAAGAUGUUUAUUUUUAAAAUGCAUAUAAUUUCUGACAAGUUUUAAACUGGGCUAGAGUAAAAUGAUAGUACGAUGAAAUUAUGUUAAAAAUGAAUGAAAAUGCAUUGUUACGAGUCCUGAAUCCCUCAGAGUUCUCUCUCUCUCAUUCAAAGUAAGCUAAAAUGCCGUUAUCUGAGCUUGUGUUUAAGUGAUAAGAUAUUUAUAGUACAGCACAGUGUUUCAGUCAAAUCAUAGGCACUGAGAUGCUAAAGGACAUGAUAAAAAGAGUUCAGAUUUAAUGCAUUAAGAGGGCAAUUGGUAGUUAAAUGUUCAACUGCCCAAUGCAUGUAAGAAAUAAGAGAUUAUAAAAAUAAUGAAUAACAAUUUAGGAGCAAUUGUUGAAGAGACAUGAGGUCUUUAAAAUCAUAAUACAGACCCUGAGCUAUAGAUGUAAUAAUUUUGAAUAGUUAAACAGUUGUAUUGCUAUUUGUUCUAUGACCAGUAACUUAUCUGUCUUAUUUUUAGUCUCCACCACCAUACAGGGCCUGAUGGCUGCAGCUACAGAAGCAACAGAAAAUUACAAUGAAUGGACGGUAGGUGCUGUCAAUGGCUCUCAUGGUUCUUGAGUGCACCUUUCCUAAGCUGCAGGAAAUACUGGAUUCUGGAAGAAGACUGUCGAGGAUGUUGCAACGGGAAAGAGCGGUUACCAGUGUGCAUGAGGUGAUUUCUCAAUGACGGGUAAGAUCCUCUUCUGGCCAAUAGGGGACAACCUAAGGCAGGGGGUCACCGCCACUGGGCACCUGCCCUGAAGGGAGGUGUUAUAUGUGAGAUGGUAGUGGAGUUGAGCAGAUGCUUGAUAGGCCUAGAGCAUCAUUAAGAGGGGAACUGUAUGAAGUACAGCAAUCUGCCUCAAAAUGUGAGCUCCUCCAGACCUGAUCACCAGCAACCGCAUUCCUUGACUGAUUGUUGUGACAAGCGUCCACAACUUGAUGCAACUAUGCCAGUGGAUCACACCCUGAGGACAAGGAGCUUAUUUAUAAAAAGUUAAUGGCAAUGGGCUUUCAAGAACCAUCUGAGACCAUGUGAUGACAGCCAUUAUUUUGAGACAAAAAUUUCUUAUGAGGCUAAAAUGAUAUUGAACUAAUAUGUCUAUAUCAUAGUCUUUACUCAUGCAGGUCAUUAGGCUUGGCAUAAGAUGAUAACAAGAUAUGGUGGUGGCUAAAAAUGAAGACUGCUUCUGCUUAAUCAAGAGAUGGUUUAGAUAACAAAGGUUAAGGGAAUUAAGCAUGUAAGGUAAAAAUAAUUUUAAAGAAAUGUUCCUAGCAUUAUGUAUUUUAAACAGUUUAAACUGAGAUUUUAGAUCUAGAAACUUUGACAUUUUUAACUUAUUUGAAUAAUUUAGGGUUAUAUGUUGUAAUGAAUUUUAUAUUAUAGUCUAAGUUAAAGUUUGGCAAAAAUUGUCAAAAUAAAUAAAUAAAUAAUAUUUUGCACAGUAAGAGAGAGAGAGAGAGAGUGCUUGAGUGGAGGCAGGGAUAGUGCUCUUCUUCUAUUAUUGGCCUGCUUAGAAAGAGUAACCAAAACAGAGCAAUAAUUUUAAGACCAAAACAACCCAGCUGAUUUUUCUCAAAAUAAAAAUCAUUAAUGAACAGGCAAACUUUGAGAUUAGAUAAGAGAUUAGGUACAAACUUGGUAAAAUGCACAGACAAUGUUUGAGUUUAAAUCCUUCCGAUUUAAUACCAAAAGGAAAACCUUAAAUAUGAGCUGUUAAAAUAUAAAUGUGUUAAGUAUGUGCAUGCAUGAGGAUGGCUAUAUAUAUAUUAUUGGGGGACAAUUCUGUUCCUGUUUUGUUUCAAUUGAGUCACUAACCUCUGGAAUGAGUGUUUUAUCAUUACAGAUGUGUUAAGUGAAAUUACUUUACAGAAGUCGAUAAUUCUGAGUGAAACUAAUGAAAAGACAAUGCCGAACAUGGGACAAGCUUUAAGAGGAUUGGUUAUCCAGCUCUGUCUGCUACUGGUAAUAAUGACUUAUUUGGUCUUUUAUAAUACUGAUUUAAAUCACUCUCUGGAUUAAUAUGUUAAAGAGUGUUUAUAUGAUUGGAUUUGUGAAAUUUAAGUUUGCCGUCCAAAAUGGGUUUAAAAUCCAUGCCUAAAUUUAAAUGAGGGUCUAAAUUUUAACAAGUUAACACUUUGUUGUUUGAAUGGUGAAGGUAAAUAUUUUAGACUUGACGGCAGAAAAACAGUGACAGAUUGGCCAAGUCACUAACCAAAUUAUCCAGAGAGCACCCUCACAUAAAGAAGCCUGGUGGGAAAACAAAGGAGUGAAUCCUGCUUGUGUAAUAUAGUGCAAAAGCUUUAUGUAGUGGUUUAUGUAGAACAGAGAUAAGUUGAACAAAAACGUGUGGAUAGCCCCUUAAUGGAGCAAAUCCAUAACAAGAGGUUUGAAUUAAUUGAAAUAGCACAGCAAAAAAAAAAAAAAAUUAUAAUAAUAAAUUUUGUUUAAACAACACAAUUGUAAUAGGCUCUAUGGAGCUGCUUAUGAACACUUGUCAAGUCAAAUUAAUAUUGUGAACACUGACAGGUCUUUUUGAUAAUGUAUACUGUUUCAAUACAGAUUUACAGAAACUGAGGAUGUCUCUUUAAUAAAUAUUUGGCUGUUUAGAACUAAGUAAUAGUAUUGUUCAUUUAGUAAUAAUAUUGGGAAAUCUGUCUGCUCUUUUUCAGUUUAUAAUAAUUUUGAGUAAAUUAAUAUCACUGCCAAAUGACAAACAUGAACGAGGGUUUUUUAAGACAUUGAUCAAGUAGCUGAUGUGUAAGCAUUUCUAACUGACAAAACAGUGAGAACUAAAUUGACUUAAUACGAGGUAUUGAGGAUUUGCUUCUGAAUGUGUCAUUAAUAUAGUCUGAGUACAGUAAUAUGGUAUGAUAAUUGACAAGACUUACAUUUAAAAAAAAAAAAAAAGGGUAAUAAUAAGGCAAUGAGUAUGGUUAACAGUAAUGUCCUGGUAUAAAAUACAUGCAUGACAAUAAGUGGAUAGGUUAGUUGUAUUUUUGAAGUUAGACACUUCGAUACUUAAAAUGUAAUUUUGAUCAAAUGUUGUUAACAAUGACAAGUUUGAAUUAAUGGUUAAUGUAUGUUUAAACAGCAUGUGAACUAUGAUGACUGCAAAUGGAUUCGUGGUGAAAGUAAAACUUAAUAAAAGGGCUAUUAAGUAAUAAACUAGGAACUGCUCUAGGUUUUCGAGGAAAUAAUGAUUAUGAUUAUUUUUAUUUUUAAAGAUGGCUCAAUAUUGAUCUUACUUAUUUUUGGUUUGUUUAUUUUUGUGUUUUUAACACCAAGUUUGGAAUGAAAGGGUAAAAUGGAUAUUCAAUCUCUAUAAUUGUACCAUUGAUCGGGAAAAUGAUAGAUUUUCAUAAAAUAAGGGUAUCUUUACUGGGAUUUAGGUUAUAAGCAAUGUCUGUAUUUGGUAUCUGUGAGGUGACUGAGGGUCUGACAUAUGUCAGGAAUGCAAUAACAGUGGUUAUUCAUUUAGCCCGGCUUGUAAUGAGUUUAUUUUACUAUAUGACCAAAUUAACUAAAAUUCAUCAUAGUUGUAUAAGACAUGUUAAAAGAAAACAAAUAAGACAAAUAUCCUUCUUAAGGGUUAAAUUUUUUUUUUUGAAUUGGUUAUAGUGUAUGCGUUUUUCUUUAAUGAUUUGUUAAAUCUGGUUAAUGAAUAUGCAAAUUUAGUCUUAAGGCUGUUGGAUAAAUGUUUGGUUUUAGAGGGUAAGUGUGAAGUAGCUGUAGUAGGAAGAGAGGUAUUUACAAAGAUAUGUUGAUGAAAGUGAGGACACUUUUCCAGGUAGAGGGACACACAGAAUGAUUCACUGGAAAAGACAUUAUGUGAAGAAAGACUAGUGCAAGUGCCGAUAUUGUGGGAUUAAGUAAGUAGAUUAAUGUAUAUGGGAAAUAAGAAUGUAUAUGGGAAGUAUUUUGUACAAAAUAAUGUGUUUAUUACUAGAAAUGUCAGCCAGUACCAGAGAUUUUAAGUAUGCACAUGUUUAAGUUGACCAACAGCCUGCAUUCUUAGCAUGCAUCACAACGACACCUGACCUCAUUUAUUAGACCAGAUGUGGGGUAUUAGACCCCACAUUGAUCUAAAACGGGGGACUGAAGGAGUGGAUGCCGAGUUGCCAUAUCCUUCAUACCAGAGAUGGGACCAAGUCCCCAUGUCUGCUUCAUACUGAUAUUAUAUUAUAUUAUUACAUGAUUUCUUGUUUGACAAUUAAUCAAGUUAUAGCAAGAGUGAAAUGUGUAACCUUAUGUGUGCUGUAUUUCUUUUCCUCAAGAUUAAUGUCCACAUAUUAUGUGUGUGUAUCCAACCGUAAUGAUAAGACACUUGCCAGUGCUAGAAAGCCUUGAAUUUUAGAUAAGUUCUCAGUGUAUGUGUGUUAGUAUCUGUCUGUACAGGGAGAAGCUCAGACAGUCCCAGGACAAACAAUCAACUGCCAGUGUCCAGCGUAUCAGAUCUACGUCUUUGGAGAGUUUUAUCUAGGUUUUGGAACCAAUCAGAAUUUUGUUGACUCAUGUAUUGACGCAAUUAGUAUCCUCUGUCAGGGUAUAACUGUGCUUGAUUUUGUAUUGUACUGGGGGCGGCCUGCGAACUCCUUCGAGAGUGUUGAAGCUGACUUCUGCUGAUGAAAUUGCAAACUAUUUUCUUCAAGUAAAAUUAUUAUUAUUAAUUGAACUCA
Long non-coding RNA from Carassius gibelio (silver crucian carp), 6558 nucleotides. RefSeq lists it as uncharacterized. Lineage: Eukaryota; Metazoa; Chordata; Actinopteri; Cypriniformes; Cyprinidae. The transcript has 2 exons. The record is from RefSeq and is a predicted model, not a curated record.